CUCUUGUUCUCUUUGGGGUUUUCUUACAAAAUUCAUGAUCCACCCGACCGUCCAAACUCAAAUUUGAUUUCGGGAACGUGAUCUACGAAGUCCGAUCUACAUUUCUACCGAUUAGUUUGAGUGACGUAUUGCAAUGUGGUGUCUAGGAGACCCAGUGCCUAAUAUCCACGCAGCCAAGACGUUUAUGCUUUGGUUGCAGGUUUUGCGGAUAUAGUUAUUGACUCGUCCACCUAGUGUAUGGGAUGCUAUGAUUGGAGCAUAUUGCGACAGUCAUAAGUCACGGACUCAUGGGUAGUCCGCAUUUUGGGUAUUUUAUUUAUGGCUCGUGUUCUACGUGACACAUGUAUUUUUUGAGUCUAUAUUUGGUAUGUAAUUAGUGUAAUAUGUUUUAUAAGCUUUAAAUAGAUAGACUUGUAAAUGGCUCUUGUUGUAAUUAACUGUUAUGUAUUAUAUGUAUUUCCGCUU
This is a long non-coding RNA of Alnus glutinosa, 465 nucleotides long. RefSeq lists it as uncharacterized. The record is from RefSeq and is a predicted model, not a curated record. The transcript is spliced from 3 exons. NCBI's taxonomy places the organism in Eukaryota, Viridiplantae, Streptophyta, Magnoliopsida, Fagales, Betulaceae.